AGAGUUUGAUCCUGGCUCAGGACGAACGCUGGCGGCGUGCUUAAUACAUGCAAGUCGAGCGAGGUUACUGUUUCGGAUCCCUUCGGGGUGAAGAAGCUUUAACCUAGCGGCGGACGGGUGAGUAACGCGUGGGUAACCUACCCCAAAGUCCGGGAUAACAGCGGGAAACCGCUGCUAAUACCGGAUGUCUUUACCUUGGGGCAUCUUGAGGUAAAGAAAGGUAACGCUUUGGGAUGGGCCCGCGUCCCAUUAGCUAGUUGGUGAGGUAACGGCUCACCAAGGCGACGAUGGGUAGCCGGCCUGAGAGGGUGGACGGCCACACUGGGACUGAGACACGGCCCAGACUCCUACGGGAGGCAGCAGUAGGGAAUAUUGCGCAAUGGACGGAAGUCUGACGCAGCGACGCCGCGUGAGCGAUGAAGGUCUUCGGAUCGUAAAGCUCUGUCCUUGGGGAAGAAGGUCUUCGGACUUGACGGUACCCAAGAAGAAAGCCCCGGCUAACUACGUGCCAGCAGCCGCGGUAAUACGUAGGGGGCGAGCGUUGUCCGGAAUUACUGGGCGUAAAGGGUGCGUAGGCGGCCCUUUAAGUCGGAUGUGAAAGCCCGCGGCUUAACCGCGGAAUGGCAUUCGAAACUGGAGGGCUUGAGUGUCGGAGAGGGUAGUGGAAUUCCCAGUGUAGCGGUGAAAUGCGUAGAUAUUGGGAGGAACACCAGUGGCGAAGGCGACUACCUGGACGAUAACUGACGCUGAGGCACGAAAGCUAGGGGAGCAAACAGGAUUAGAUACCCUGGUAGUCCUAGCCGUAAACGAUGGGUACUAGUGUGGGUGGUUUCGAUACCAUCCGUGCCGUAGUUAACGCAUUAAUACCCCGCCUGGGGAGUACGUGCGCAAGCAUGAAACUCAAGGAAUUGACGG
Molecule: ribosomal RNA, 915 nt
Filed under: uncultured bacterium
Lineage: Bacteria
Description: bacterial SSU rRNA
Rfam family: Bacterial small subunit ribosomal RNA
Source: RNAcentral